RNAcentral lists this ribosomal RNA (253 nucleotides) under uncultured bacterium. Its description in RNAcentral is "partial 16S ribosomal RNA". It matches the Rfam family "Bacterial small subunit ribosomal RNA", at positions 524 to 776 of the family's 1533-position model. The record is from RNAcentral.
UACGUAGGGUGCAAGCGUUAAUCGGAAUUACUGGGCGUAAAGCGUGCGCAGGCGGUUGUGCAGGACAGAUGUGAAAUCCCCGGGCUUAACCUGGGAACUGCAUUUGUGACUGCACGGCUAGAGUGUGUCAGAGGGGGGUGGAAUUCCACGUGUAGCAGUGAAAUGCGUAGAUAUGUGGAGGAAUACCGAUGGCGAAGGCAGCCCCCUGGGAUAACACUGACGCUCAUGCACGAAAGCGUGGGGAGCAAACAGG